GCGGCUGGGGUGCCCCAAGGCCCGGAUGUCUUGGGGCAGCAAAGGGGGAAGACCGGUGAAAGUCCGGCGCUGUGCCGCAACGGUAACCGGCCCGCGCAUCAAGCCCUUCGUCAUGGUCGGAAGCCCGAAUACCCGCCCCGGCGCGCGCCUCACC
Molecule: non-coding RNA, 154 nt
Filed under: Thermus brockianus
Lineage: Bacteria; Thermotogati; Deinococcota; Deinococci; Thermales; Thermaceae
Source: RNAcentral